Molecule: ribosomal RNA, 1454 nt
Filed under: uncultured bacterium
Lineage: Bacteria
Description: bacterial SSU rRNA
Rfam family: Bacterial small subunit ribosomal RNA
Source: RNAcentral
AGCGAACGCUGGCGGCGUGUUUUAGGCAUGCAAGUCGAUCGGCAGCAUGACUGUAGCAAUACAGUUGAUGGCGAGAGGCAGACGGGUGAGUAACGCGUGGGAAUCUACCCAGGGGACUGAGAUAGCCCGGCGAAAGCCGGGGUAAUAUCAGAUGAUACCGAAAGGUCAAAGUCGCCGCAAGGCGACACCCUUGGAUGAGCCUGCGUCCCAUCAGGUAGUUGGCGGGGUAAGAGCCCACCAAGCCGAAGACGGGUAGCUGGUCUGAGAGGAUGGUCAGCCACAAGGGAACUGCGACACGGUCCCUACUCCUACGGGAGGCAGCAGCCAAGAAUCUUCCGCAAUGGACGAAAGUCUGACGGAGCGACGCCGCGUGAGGGAUGAAGGUCUUCGGAUUGUAAACCUCUUUUGUUCGGGAAGAAUAAGUCUGUCAGGAAAUGGGCAGAUGAUGACGGUACCGAAUGAAUAAGCCCCGGCUAAUUACGUGCCAGCAGCCGCGGUAAUACGUAAGGGGCUAGCGUUGCUCGGAAUUACUGGGCGUAAAGGGCGUGUAGGCGGCCGGAUAAGUCGAAUGUAAAAAACCAGGGCUUAACCCUGGGGCUGCGUUCGAAACUGCUCGGCUUGAGUCUGGUGGAGGGUAAUGGAAUUCCCGGUGUAGCGGUGAAAUGCGUAGAUAUCGGGAAGAACACCGAAGGCGAAGGCAGUUACCUAUGCCGAGACUGACGCUGAGGCGCGAAAGCAUGGGGAUCAAACAGGAUUAGAUACCCUGGUAGUCCAUGCCGUAAACGAUGUAUACUAGGAGUUGGUGGUUUCCAUUAGCUCCGUAGCAAACGCAUUAAGUAUACCGCCUGGGGAGUACGGCCGCAAGGUUGAAACUCAAAGAAAUUGACGGGGGCCCGCACAAGCAGUGGAGUACGUGGUUCAAUUCGAUGAUAAACGAAGAACCUUACCAGGGUUUGACAUGUUAUCGCUAGGCGUCGAAAGGCGCUGUUCCCGUAAGGGACGGUAGCACAGGUGCUGCAUGGCUGUCGUCAGCUCGUGCCGUGAGGUGUUGGGUUAAGUCCCGCAACGAGCGCAACCCUUACUUUUAGUUGCUACUCGCAAGAGAGCACUCUAGAGGGACUGCCGCCGAUAAGGCGGAGGAAGGAGGGGAUGAGGUCAAGUCGUCAUGGCCUUUAUAUCCUGGGCUACACACAUACUACAAUGGCUACAACAGCGGGGAGCGAAGGGGCGACCUGGAGCAAAUCCUCAAAAGUGGCCUCAAUACGGAUUGUAGUCUGCAACUCGACUACAUGAAACUGGAAUUGCUAGUAAUCGCGGGUCAGCAAAACCGCGGUGAAUACGUUCUCGGGCCUUGUACACACCGCCCGUCACACCACCCGAGUUGGUUUUUCCUAAAGCUAGUUACCCUAACCGCAAGGAUGGGGCUGGUAAAGGAGGAAUUGGUAAGGGGGGUG